AUUGAACGCUGGCGGCAUGCCUAACACAUGCAAGUCGAGCGGAUGAAGGGAGCUUUCUCCUGGAUUCAGCUGCGGACGGGUGAGUAAUGCCUAGGAAUCUGCCUGGUAGUUGGGGAUAACGUCCGGAAACGGGCGCUAAUACCGCAUACGUCCUGAUGGUGAAAGUGGUGGAUCUUCGGACCUCACGCUAUCAGAUGAGCCUAGGUCGGAUUAGCUAGUUGGUUGGGUAAAGGCCUACCAAGGCGACGAUCCGUAACUGGUCUGAGAGGAUGAUCAGUCACACUGGAACUGAGACACGGUCCAGACUCCUACGGGAGGCAGCAGUGGGGAAUAUUGGACAAUGGGCGAAAGCCUGAUCCAGCCAUGCCGCGUGUGUGAAGAAGGUCUUCGGAUUGUAAAGCACUUUAAGUUGGGAGGAAGGGAAGUAAGUUAAUACCUUGCUGUCUUGACGUUACCAACAGAAUAAGCACCGGCUAACUUCGUG
Molecule: ribosomal RNA, 484 nt
Filed under: uncultured bacterium
Lineage: Bacteria
Description: partial 16S ribosomal RNA
Rfam family: Bacterial small subunit ribosomal RNA
Source: RNAcentral